AGUAAAGAAGUACGGUUGCGAUGGUGCGAUCAUU
Molecule: small RNA, 34 nt
Filed under: Anaerobutyricum hallii
Lineage: Bacteria; Bacillati; Bacillota; Clostridia; Lachnospirales; Lachnospiraceae
Description: CRISPR_Spacer
Source: RNAcentral